AACGCUGGCGGCAUGCUUAACACAUGCAAGUCGCACGAACCUUUCGGGGUUAGUGGCGGACGGGGGAGUAACGCGUAGGGAUCUAUCCACGGGUGGGGGAUAACUUUGGGAAACUGAAGCUAAUACCGC
This 129-nucleotide ribosomal RNA is filed under the name Komagataeibacter oboediens DSM 11826. Its description in RNAcentral is "16S ribosomal RNA". It matches the Rfam family "Bacterial small subunit ribosomal RNA", at positions 32 to 172 of the family's 1533-position model. Lineage: Bacteria; Pseudomonadati; Pseudomonadota; Alphaproteobacteria; Acetobacterales; Acetobacteraceae. The record is from RNAcentral.